GUGCUGGAGGCAUAUCGUCAACGUUUUCGUUCCAGGAAAAAGCUAGAUUCACAAACCUAUUCUGAGUUUGUUCGCAAGUCAAUUUAAACCUGCUGUGUUGGCAGUGCCUGUUACAGCCUCUGAUCACCAUGGUGAGCUUUUUCAGCCAAUAGUUGAGUUUGGUUCUGAGUCUUCCCAAUGUGACUUUUCAGCUUUUAUUUCAGAUGGUGUAGUGUCCCUGGUAGAUGGCAACCAAGAGGUUCCAAUUAAGAUCUUAAGAGACACUGGAGCUUUAGAUUCUUUUAUUUUGGAAUCUGUUUUGCCGUUCUCUAAGGAGUCUGAUUCUGGCAGUUGUAUAAUGUAUGUGGCAUGGGUUUAGUUCCAUUCUCUUCUCCUUUACAUGAUGUUACCCUUAAAUGUGGUUUGGUAGAGGGUGAUGUAGCUGUUGGGGUUAGACCCCAGUUGCCAGUAGAGGGAGUCCAUAUGAUUUUGGGGAAUGACUUGGCAGGUAGUAAGGUGUGGGCAGAUGGCAAAAUAAACAUCUUUAAAAAGCAAGAUUCAGUGCCCCCUGCAAAGGUAUCUCCAGAUUGCAGCUUUGUGUCUCCGGAGGUAUUUCCAGUUUGUGCUGUUACUCGCUCUGUCUCAUGUAAGGAGGUUGAGAGUAAGCCAGAAAGCCUUGAGUUGCCAGUUAAACUACAAAUCGAACAGUUGACUAGUUCUCGAGAUUCACUGAUAGCUGAGCAAAAGGUAGAUACUACCUUGGCUGAUUUGUUUGAUAAAGCGGUUCCUGAUUCAGUGGUGAGGAAUAGUGCUCAGUGUUAUUUUCUUCUUGAUGGGCUGUUGGUCAGGAAAUGGGUUCCACACUGUGAUCAGGGUCUAGGUGAACCAGUUUUUCAGGUAGUUGUACCUACUACUUUGCGAAGUAAAGUGUUGCAAACUUCACAUGGUGAUGUGGCAGGUCAUAUGGGUGUUUGUAAAACUUAUGAUCGCAUACUCCAUUAUUUUUUUUGGCCAAGUUUAAAGCGGGAUGUAGCUCAGUUUAUUAAAACUUGUCAUACAUGUCAGCGCACAAGCAAGCCAAAUCAGGUUGUAAAGCCAGCUCCUUUGUAUCCAAUACCAGCCAUAGGGCAACCUUUUGAGCAUCUUAUUAUUGAUUGUGUUGGGCCUUUACCACGGUCCAAGUCAGGUCA
This is a long non-coding RNA of Cyprinus carpio (common carp), 1169 nucleotides long. Lineage: Eukaryota; Metazoa; Chordata; Actinopteri; Cypriniformes; Cyprinidae. The record is from Ensembl.